AUCUGCUCGCCCCGCCCAAGGUGUCUUGGGGCACGCGAAAUAAACCGAACCUGUUCACCCCAAGUCCCGUGCCACCUCCAUCUGUCCCCGCGCCGAUAACUGGAACUGUAGAGCAUUUACCGGGGGACCGGCCGCCCUUUCUCUUCCCCCGCCGCCCAGCAUGCCCGCGCUCGGGGUGUCGCGGUGAAAGGGGACCGCAACGCAACAAAUGGUAGCAAGAGGAUGGUUCCCUCCUUCGUCUUGUAAAACAAACGGGCAAAUUCGUGGGGGCGCCCGCCCCACGGAAGAAGAAGGAGGGAAGAGGAACAUCUGCGGUUGGAGAAGCUCUGCCGGACGCUAAGAGGAGCCGAGUGCCGAGCGAAAAGAAUUCGGCUCCAGGACCCUCCUUUGUUCUCGCCUCCGCGCGCUCUACCCCCCGCCGAGAUCAGACGUCCUGCACUGGGGCAGACGUGCUGCAGGGGCUUUGAAGGGGGGGUUAGACCUACCCCAGAACAAAGAGGGUGGUUUGGGAGCGGCUCAAGGGAGCCAGGAGAACGGCUCGUACAGCACCGGAACGAGACUACCAGAGGCCGAUAGUGGCCGAGCCCACAGCUUCAGGGACAAGUUUUGGGUGCAGCCGAGAUCGGCUGGACUUGCCUGCAAGUCCCGGGAACACCUAAGCCUCUGGAAGAGCCAAACCGAGAAGGAACGUCCCCAGUUCGGCGCGACUUUUCCACCAAGUUGAGGAGAAGAAUCAAGCCAUCUCCACCCGGGCCCCAGAGGAAAGAAAGAUCAUCCUUUUUAGUUUAUACCUUCGGUAUUAUGCCCACUCCGGAAAUAAAGAAUAAAAUCAGACAAGCCAUGUCGCCGCUCGCUGCUUCAACUCUGCUAUACAUCUCCAGCGCCACGACAGCCCAAGUUUCGAAUCAGAUCAAGCUGUGAAUCCUGCUGAAUGUUUUACCCCGAAUUCAGAAUUUGUUUAUGUCAAUUUUAUACGCUUUGUAUAUUAAUUUGUUUUAUUGUAAUUGUAAUUAAUUUGUACUUUUCUGAUGUUUUUCAACUUAUUUCUGUUUAACAAUUUGUAAUGUUACUAUAUGGUUUUGUUGUAUUUUACAUAUGAAGUUUAUAUUGUUUAUAUGCAGUAUUAAUUUGUUUAAAUGUCAGAAUUCUCCUUUCUUUUGUAAAAAGAAAAAGAGGGAGGUGCGGGAGUGUGUUCUUUAUUCUUUCAGUGUCUGUACACAACCCCCCCCCAUCUCACUCCUAACCCCCUUCUCUCCAAGAUGUGAAUCUCCCCUCCCCCUGAUUCUUUCCCUGCCCCCUUUAGUCCUACCCCAAACUCCUCCCCUGUUAUUCCCCUAUUGGUUGCUGUUCCUAUAAAACAUCUGCUCGCCCCCCCCAAGGUGUCUUGGGGCACGCGAAAUAAACCGAACCUGUUCACCCCAA
Non-coding RNA from Taeniopygia guttata (zebra finch), 1422 nucleotides. Lineage: Eukaryota; Metazoa; Chordata; Aves; Passeriformes; Estrildidae. The record is from RefSeq and is a predicted model, not a curated record.